Cyanistes caeruleus (blue tit) is the source of this 2645-nucleotide long non-coding RNA. The record is from Ensembl. NCBI's taxonomy places the organism in Eukaryota, Metazoa, Chordata, Aves, Passeriformes, Paridae.
CACAGCCCGGCUGCGCCUCCUUUCCAGAGCUCCAGCUCCGCAUCCCCCUCCCCCGGGGGGUUCGGGGUCGGCGGGAUGGAGGGUGAGGAACCGCUGCCCUCCGCUCUCCGAAAAGGCAGAGCCAGCUCGGGAGCGCUGUGGGAUGUGAGGAACGCGCACACACCCGGAGCGCGGUGCAGGGUUCUGUAGCUUGGAACGCGUUUCACAGCCCCUCGGUGCCCCCUGAAGUCCCCGCUGCCCCCAGCUUGAGAUUCGGUGUGGGGGUUGUGCUUCACCCCUUUCACCCAGCAGCGGGAGGCACCGUUUGGCCGGAGCCUGCCGGGAGCCGGGGGGGUUGCCCGUCCUCGGCCGCCUCCACACCGGGCUCUUGAGGUUUCCUGAUCUUUCUGCGGGAGCCUGGCGGGGCGCGGGGUGCGGAGCCGGAGGGGAGAGAUGCUCCAAAACCGCGGGUGCUCUCGCCGGGAUGGAAGAGCCACGAGUUGCCCUGGAGUGAAGGGAAGAGCGGUUUAGGGACCCCCGGCUCCGGAGUGCCUCUAGGAAAGGACUGGGGCGCACUUUUCUCCCCUCCGAUGCAUUGUUUUAACCCCGAUUUCUCAUAUUUGGUGUCUUUUAUCCCCUUAUUUUUAUCGUGUUUUCAAAAAAUUAAAUUCUAAAAAAUCCAAACCGCCCCAUCAAAAAAAUUUCUCCUCUCUCCAAAGCGUAAAUAGAAAAAAUAAAUUCUGCUCUCAAUGUUUCUCGCGGCGGUGCUUUGGGGAAGGUUGGUGACAACGAGCUCCACUGCCUUGUCCGCAGGCAGGACAGGGCCGGGGCUGCGUGUGCCUCACCCGAGUGCGGCCAGGAAAGGUCGGCAAGGCACGGCACCACUAUAAAAAAAUAAAAAAUAAAAAAAAUCACCGCUGUGAACAACCCGAAAUAACCUCAAAAACCCGCCGUUUUAGCAGAGCUGGAUGCAAUGUGUAAGUCGGAAUGGGGCGUGUAUAGGGGUUUUUUUUUCAUUCCCUAAGUUUUUGGGUUUUUUGUCUGUCUGUCUGUCAGAGAAGCAUCCCCAUCCAGGUGCGCCCCGUCGGGGUCCGGGACCGAGGUGGGAGCUGCGACUUCUCGCCAGCUUCUUGGAGACCCCGCUCCCCGCCGGGAGCUCAGUGCUGUCUGUCGGAUAAUGGGGCGGUGGGACUUUGUUUAACCCCGUUGCCCCUGGGGCCAGGGGUCAAGGGCUUCCUUUUCCCCCGGGACACGGCGGAGACGCCGUUGGUCACGGCAGGAGGAGCGCGGCGAAGGGGGGGAAGUGAUGGCCGCAGAGUACCCCUGUCCCCGCCGCGGCCCUCCCUCUGCCAUCGCCGUGGAAUCCCGCGGACCUCCUUCUCUCCCCGGCAUGGAGAGGCUGAGAAGGGCUCCAGAUGGGUGUUUUGGGGGAGCAGGGGGCGGCCAAACAUCACCACGGGGCAGAGGGUGAUGAUGCAGAGAGGCGGCCCCUGCCUUCCAGCAUCCCCCGGUUCUGCUUUCUCCUCCCAGCUGGAGCAGGAUGUUUUUAACGGGGUGCCGGUUUUAAUAGGGUUUCACCCCCUCCCUCCACAGGUAGAGAUGUCUCAGCUGCCCCCCCGGAGCCAAGAAACGGGAGAAACGGGCAAUUUUUAUAGGCUGGGGAGGAGUCGGGAGAGAGGGAAGGAAAAGAGAAAAGAAAAUCAUCCCAAGAUCCCGCUCUUUCCCUGCUCGGGAAGCGAGCCCCGGAGCUCCCAAAGUGAGCGCUGAAGAGGGCGGCGGGAGACAGGCGGGAGCCGGCUCCGAGGUGGAGGGGUCGGGGGUGGGAUGAGAGUAGAGGAGGACCCUCCUUUUCGGGAUUAAGGGAGAACCGGCGAAGGAGGGAAGCUGGCGGCACCGCGGGCAUCCGAGGUAAGUCCCUCUCCUGCCCGCAGCGGUGGUACCUGAGCCAGGGCGCUGCUGCAGGGGAUGCUUUGAGGGUUCAAAGGAGCCCGAUCCCGGGGAUCCCCGUUCUCGGGGCUGCCCCGCCACAACCACCGGGCUCUGCGGGGCCGGGGCUGCUUUGGCGGCUGCAGCUCGUGUGGAAUCGGUGCCGGUUAUCCCGGCCCGGGGGCUGCCGGCAGCCCCUGCCCCGCUCCGUGCCCGCUCCCUCGGGGCUGGGUCGGGGUCCCCCCGGGCCGAGCAGCCCACGGAUCCCGCUCCCAGCCCCCGGGGCUCCUCCCGUGCGUGUCUCAAUUCGCUCAGGCUUGACUUGGCAAUAAGCUCUCUCAAUAGGGUGACAAUAGAGCCCCGGUGGGACCCGAACAAAGAAUUUGAAAGUAGUUAAAUUGCAGGACACGUCCAUCGCCUGGGUGCUUGAAUUAAAAAAAAAAAAAAAAAAAGAAAAGAAAAAAAGAAAAAAAAAAAAGAAAAAAAAAGAAAAAGAAAGAAAGAAAAAAAAUCAGAGAAAAGAAAAAGGAGAGAGACUUUUCUUUGGGCUGGUGAGAAAAUGCUCAGGGUAAAAGUUGGUUUGGCGUCUUCAUUUCAGCGACAAUGGAGCAGAGCUAAUUCAAUAGGAAACGCGGGGAUUUUUUAAUGAAAAGACCGCCGGGGUUACACCGAAGUUAAGCUCUUGUGAAUUAAUUAUUAGGGCAAAUAAACUGGGAGGGGGGGAGCGCUCGGGAGGGAGU